RNAcentral lists this transfer RNA (72 nucleotides) under Spirochaetota bacterium. RNAcentral's name for it is "Spirochaetes bacterium (freshwater sediment metagenome) tRNA-Thr". It matches the Rfam family "tRNA". From Rfam's summary of the family: Transfer RNA (tRNA) molecules are approximately 80 nucleotides in length. Their secondary structure includes four short double-helical elements and three loops (D, anti-codon, and T loops). Further hydrogen bonds mediate the characteristic L-shaped molecular structure. tRNAs have two regions of fundamental functional importance: the anti-codon, which is responsible for specific mRNA codon recognition, and the 3' end, to which the tRNAs corresponding amino acid is attached (by aminoacyl-tRNA synthetases). tRNAs cope with the degeneracy of the genetic code in two manners: having more than one tRNA (with a specific anti-codon) for a particular amino acid; and 'wobble' base-pairing, i.e. permitting non-standard base-pairing at the 3rd anti-codon position. The record is from RNAcentral. Lineage: Bacteria; Pseudomonadati; Spirochaetota.
GCUGAUGUAGCUCAGUGGUAGAGCAGGCGCCUUGUAAGCGUCUGGUCGGGGGUUCGAAUCCCUCCAUCAGCU